CUGUUUAUCCAUGCUACCCUGAACAUGCCCAAUCUCGUCUGAUCUCGGAAGCUAAUCAGGGGCAGGUCUGGUUAGUACUUGGAUGGGAGAAUUGUAGAGGAUCAUCUAU
Molecule: non-coding RNA, 109 nt
Organism: Podarcis lilfordi (Lilford's wall lizard)
Lineage: Eukaryota; Metazoa; Chordata; Lepidosauria; Squamata; Lacertidae
Source: the annotation of a GenBank genome assembly